This 473-nucleotide ribosomal RNA is filed under the name uncultured bacterium. RNAcentral describes it as "partial 16S ribosomal RNA". It matches the Rfam family "Bacterial small subunit ribosomal RNA", at positions 355 to 820 of the family's 1533-position model. The record is from RNAcentral.
UAGGGAAUCUUCCACAAUGGACGAAAGUCUGAUGGAGCAACGCUGCGUGAGUGAAGAAGGUUUUCGGAUCGUAAAGCUCUGUUGUUGGUGAAGAAGGAUAGAGGCAGUAACUGGUCUUUAUUUGACGGUAAUCAACCAGAAAGUCACGGCUAACUACGUGCCAGCAGCCGCGGUAAUACGUAGGUGGCAAGCGUUGUCCGGAUUUAUUGGGCGUAAAGCGAGCGCAGGCGGAAUGAUAAGUCUGAUGUGAAAGCCCACGGCUCAACCGUGGAACUGCAUCGGAAACUGUCAUUCUUGAGUGCAGAAGAGGAGAGUGGAACUCCAUGUGUAGCGGUGGAAUGCGUAGAUAUAUAGAAGAACACCAGUGGCGAAGGCGGCUCCCUGGUCUGCAACUGACGCUGAGGCUCGAAAGCAUGGGUAGCGAACAGGAUUAGAUACCCUGGUAGUCCAUGCCGUAAACGAUGAGCGCUAGG